RNAcentral lists this ribosomal RNA (700 nucleotides) under uncultured bacterium. RNAcentral describes it as "bacterial SSU rRNA". It matches the Rfam family "Bacterial small subunit ribosomal RNA", at positions 45 to 791 of the family's 1533-position model. The record is from RNAcentral.
GGCCUAACACAUGCAAGUCGAGCGAACUCUUCGGAGUUAGCGGCGGACGGGUGAGUAACGCGUGGGAAUGUGCCUCGGGGUGCGGAACAACAGCUGGAAACGGCUGCUAAUACCGCAUGAUGUCUACGGACCAAAGAUUUAUCGCCCCGAGAUCAGCCCGCGUUGGAUUAGCUAGUUGGUGGGGUAAUGGCCCACCAAGGCGACGAUCCAUAUCUGGUUUGAGAGGAUGAUCAGACACACUGGGACUGAGACACGGCCCAGACUCCUACGGGAGGCAGCAGUGGGGAAUCUUGGACAAUGGGCGCAAGCCUGAUCCAGCCAUGCCGCGUGAGUGAAGAAGGCCCUAGGGUCGUAAAGCUCUUUCACUGGUGAAGAUGAUGACGGUAGCCAGAGAAGAAGCCCCGGCUAACUCCGUGCCAGCAGCCGCGGUAAUACGGAGGGGGCAAGCGUUGUUCGGAAUUACUGGGCGUAAAGGGCGCGUAGGCGGGAUGUCAAGUUAGGGGUGAAAGGCCUGGGCUCAACCUGGGAACUGCCUCUAAAACUGGCAAUCUAGAGUCCGGGAGAGGAUAGCGGAAUUCCCAGUGUAGAGGUGAAAUUCGUAGAUAUUGGGAAGAACACCAGUGGCGAAGGCGGCUAUCUGGUCCGGUACUGACGCUGAGGCGCGAAAGCGUGGGGAGCAAACAGGAUUAGAUACCCUGUA